UAGCGGCCGUCCUUCAAUUGUUUCUACAAACCCAAAUUAAAGAAGCUUAAUAGCAUUGAGGUAAUCAUGCAACAGAAAGCCACAAGCAUAUCUAAAACGAAGAUGAGAAUCAUAUGAAACCUCAGCAGUGAAAAUGAGCAUCCAGGUUCUGCCAGGGGAUUCCGGUCCACCAAGAGUUUCAAGAAACGCUGAGGGGUUGAGUUUGGCCUUUUCAAUAACAGAAAAAGCUGACAAAAUUUCCUCAGCAGGGAUUUUCCUCGUUUUGGCUGCAUUUUUCAACACUUUGACGCUCUCCUCAACUUCCUAUUAUAUAUUUUAUACAAAAUGGAAAGAUAACAGGUUAUGAAAAUCAAUGCAUUCUCUAGUAACCAAGCAGUUGAAUGAAAGGAAAAACGUACUCUGCUUGGCUCCUGCUCUUGGACAAUGAGUGGCUCCUUCUCCUUCUCAUCAAGGGUAGCUCGGGUCCUUGCCUUGAGGAAUUUGCCAGAAUUGAUACAAGGAAUGUGUGGCUCAAAAGAGUUGACAUGUUUACGAGGGAGUAGGAAGGGUCUCAGAGAUGAUAAUUGAGAGGAAGGCGAAUUGGGAUAAGUAUGGCAGAUUAAGGGCGAGAGAAAAAAGGCUGAUGGUGCUGCUUGGAAGCCCAUUUUGCUAGGUGACUACAAUUCCUGUAGUGUAGGACUAUGUUAAAGCUUAAGUUAUAAGAACAGGCAAGUAGCGUACGGCUGAUUUUAGGCGAGGGAGAGAAAGAGAUGGAAAUGCAAGGUCUGGGUUUCGGCACACAAACGUUGAAUGUGUUCCCAGAGAUGAGAUGGAUAGAGAAACAACAGGGAGAGACGUGGCAUAGCCGAUAAGUCCAAAUGUCCCCACCACCAAUGAUGUAACGCCAGCCUUACCCUACAGGGAUUGCCGAUCAACUUUAUACUUUAUUUUUUAUCUAUAAAUAAACAUUGCUCCCUCCCUACACUCCUCACUAUCCACUCUUCUCUCUCUCUAGUUUCUCUACAGCUCUUGAAAAUGAGAGUCCAAAUGAGUUUCUUGGUUUUCUGGGUCCGCCUAGUCCUUCUUGCCCAGUACGUUGCAGGCAAUGAAGCGUCGCGGUGCAGCCGGAGACGGUGAAGCUAGACACUGGAGGUCUGAGCAGGGAGAGUUUUCCAAAGGGUUUCGUUUUCGGAACAGCCACGUCCGCUUAUCAAUUCGAAGGCAUGGCCCAUUGUGACGGUCGUGGCCCCAGCAUUUGCGACGUCUUCGUUAAAAUUCCCGGUAAUGAAACUGAUGCUAAAGUGGUCAAAUGUAAAAAAGAAGAAAAACAAAUUUAAAAGAGUUAAUUUCUGUGACAUGAUCAACAGGGAUUGUUGCCAAGAAUGGCACGGGUGAAGUAUCAGUGGACCAAUAUCAUCGCUACAAGGUAGGUAUUUGAUAGGCAUUUAGCCCUCUAAUUCUAUAACCACAAACGUGUGUUAACCUUAGUUGUUAUUGCUGGCCUGCGCAUCAUCUACAGGGGAUUGUCAAGUUUAAAACGUUUCUCUUUUGUUACAGGAAGAUGUGGAUCUUAUGGCAAACCUGAAUUUUGAUGCGUACAGGUUUUCAAUCUCAUGGUCCAGGAUUUUCCCUGGUACUUCCAUCAUCAACAUAGUACAUAUACUUUGAUCAACAGAAAUUGUUGUUGGUGUCGUGUUGCUUAUCAUUUAUUCCAAUUGGUUUUAUUUAGACGGGACUGGGAAGGUAAAUUGGAAGGGAGUUGCAUACUACAACAGGUUGAUCGACUCCUUGCUACAAAGAGGUAAUUCUUUAUAAAGAUUAAGAAUGUAAGAAUUCCCAAACUAGUAUUGCCAGGUUGUGUUGAAACAGGGGAGCUGAUAUCAAUCUAAUGCUAUCAUCAUCAUUUCGUCUGAAUUCGUAUUAUCCCUAAUUAUCAUGGUUCAACAUGUAACCUGUGGGCUUUCUUCCCUGCCCUAACUACAUUUAUUUAUUCCAGUGACUUCCCAUGUCUUCAAUGGCAGAGCUGCCCCUUGAUCCAAUGAAGGACGAUCAGGCAACAAACUAUACUAAUAUUUAGCAAUAGAAAUAGGAGUACCUGGUAUGAAGAAUUCUUUAUAUAUCUAAAGACACCAACUCCACCAUUCAUGGGGUAUGUCUGCUCAUCUCUUCUUCUGCCAUAUCUUCCCCGAUCCCUAUCUUUCAGUGAAGUGCUACUUUAUUCCCUUCCUUGGCUUCUCACCUGAUCAACACUCUUAUAAAGUGCCCUUAGAUUGAUUAAACAAAUCAUUUGCCUUUCUUUAGGAGCAACUCUUUGUCAGUAGUGUAAUAAAAUAUUUAAAAUAUGAAGCAAAGUAGACCUACCUAAUGUAUUGUCUUCAUUUCUUUCUGUCAAAAUAUGGAGUAACCGAAUCCAACAAGGCAGCCAAAAGUCGGUAUAUAAUGAUAAAAAAACAACUGAAACUAUGGCUCUAAUCUUUUAAAUACUAUGUCAUUUAUCCUUCUUAGGUAUAAAGGAAUUAUAGCUCGCAAAAAAAAUAAUAUAUAUGUACAUAUAUAAUAUGAUAAAAGAAUUUGGAAUAUCUGAUACCCCUCAGGCCUCAGCUCUAUGUUGGAGUCCACAUCAUAGACUUUGUAAUAGCAGUCUCCGACGAUGUCGGUUCUUCCUUAAAAAGACUCAUGGACUAUCAUCAUUGGGGAGUAGACAUGAAAAUAAGAGGUAAAAAUACAUAUUACUAUAAGUUAAUUAGUUUUAAAACUAUCUUUAAUUAUUAUUAAUUUAAAUUUUAAUUAAGUUACAUAUAUUGACAUAUUAAAUAAAUAUAUUAAAAUCAUCUUUAAUUCAACUAUAUAUAUAACUUUCAAAUCGAUAUAUUAAAUUAUAUUAAUUUAGUUUAAACAAUUUAUUUUAAUUACUAUUAAUUUGAAAAAAAAUGGUUGUAUAAUAGAGAAAUUGAUUCAAACCCACUCAUGAUCAACCAUCAGGAUCCAAGAUGAUCAGCUUCGUUGCCUAACCUUAGCACAGCUAUGCUUUCAUCAACAGCUAGCUAAACUGAAUUGGUAGCAGAGGUGAAAGAAUGCCCCUUAGGCCUAGCUUUAUGUAGUAGGAUUAGGUAUUCAAGCCCUGUAAUGGCAGAGUAGUCCACUAGCAUAAACGAACAUCCAAUAUUCCCCGCAGAGACGAAGGAUGAUUAAUGCAAGAGAUGGCUUCUUCAUCUACGCAAAGAACUCUUCAUAUAUACAUAUACAUAUAGAAUAACAUUUGCUAAGAUGCAGCUAUGCGGUUGAAGACUAAAGAAGCAGCCAUGGGGACGUAGAUAGUCCAACCAUUUUCAAUGUUAAGAAAUGCUUGUACGGUUUGCCCUCAGAUCGCCUAUAAAGCUUUUAAGUGGAUUAGUUUAUGCAACAAAAGGAUUUGAGUCGCAUGUCUUUAUUAUAGGCAGGGUUUGACUGCCAGCUCGGCGGGCUGACUGUCAACGCAAAGUAAAUAAAUAUGUACCUAUUCAUUAGUUUAUCUUGCUUGGGGAAUAAGAAAUUAAUGGCUGUCAAAUCGCCAUGAAUUUAGAAAAGUCCUGGCAGCCUGCAGUGGCACACACACCAGCAUCCAGGAAGAACAGACCAGAGAUUCGGAAGGAGCAACUAUGAUUAAUUCAUUAGUUUGUUUUGCUUGGGGAAUAAGAAAAUGGCGCCAUGAAUCUAGAAAAGUCUAAAGGUUGUUGGCUCCUGGCAAGUGGCACACAUACAAGCGUCCGAGAAGAGCAGCCCAGGUUUAGAAUUAGAUCAAGUUAAUUGCAAUGGCUCUUUUGUCACGAAGAUGGAAAUAAGAUUGAGCCUUGGAGUGCAAGAACCGAUGCGAGGUGCAAUCUCGUAAUAUUCUCAGGGACUUCCUUUCUUGGGGCCGGCUUUGGCAUAAAGCCGCCCACUAAGCAAGACCGACUUUACCAAAAAGCCACCAAAGGUCAUGCUUUAGGCUCCACAAUUUUAUAGGUUUUAUAAUUUUAUAUAAUAUACAAAAAUUAAAAUAAUUAAUAAAAUAUUUUUUAAAUUAAAUAUUUAUUUAUUUUCACUUUUUACCUCUUAUUAAUCCUCAAUUAUUUAUUUCAGUUCUCUACUUUUAUAAAAAUCAAAAUAAUUAAUAAAAUUAUAUAUUUUUUUGUUUUUUUAGUCAUAUACUUAAUAAACUUCUAUUUUUUAUUACUUUCUAAUUAUCAUAAUGUUAAUAAUUCUCAAUUAUUUUUUAUUUUCAAUGAACUAAAUGUGUUUUUAAUGAUCUCUAACUAACAACAAUUUUUUUAAUUUCAAUAAAAAAGACUUUAUUUAAAUAUUUAAACGCUUUAAGCCUUUAAAGGUAUUAAGUUACCCUACCACCAAGACUCUUGCUUUAGGUCCUAUAUUUUUAUAAGCCCCAUAUAUUUGUAUAAUAUAAUUAAUUAUAUUUAAAAAUAUAUAAAAAUUAAAGUAAUUAAUAAAAUAUUUUUUAAAUUAAGUGUCUAUUAAAUAUUUAUUUUUUCUCACUUUCUAUCUCUUAUUAAUUCUCAACUAUUUAUUUCACUUCUCCAAUUAUAUAAAAGUCAAAACAAUUAAUGCAAUGAUAUAUUCUCUCACUUUCUCAAUUAUGUACUUAAUAAAUUUAUAUUUUUUAUCAUUUCUUAAUUCCAGUAACUUUAUUAAUUCUUUAUUUUUUUUAUUUUUAAUAAACGUAACAUAUUUUAAUGAUAUCCAACUAACGGUAAUUUAAUAAAAAGAGCUUCAUUUAAAUAUUUAAUCGCUUUAAGUCUUUAAAAGUAUUGAACCACCCCUGCUCAUUCUCAGUUUACACAUACAGUUUUAACAUAAGUGGCGUUUGGUACUUUAUAAUGUAAUAUGAUUACAGGUAAUAUGAUUGCAAGUAAUGUAUUGCAAGCAAUGUGAUUGUAGCGAAAAUAACAUUACAGUAUUUGAUAUACAAACAAAAUAAUAAUUAAAAUAUAGAGAAGAUAACAUUGCAGCGUUUGAUUUACAAGUACUCUACUAGGAAUGUAAUGUUAAUUUUUAAAAUUAUCCUUAUUUAUUAAAAUACAAGUUUAAUAUAAUUAUAUUUUUUAUUAUUAAUUUUUAUAUAAUAUCAUCUUUUAAAUAUAUUUUUAACGUCAUAUAUUUUAUUUUUAUUUUUUAUUAUAAUAUUAUAUUUUGAUUUUUAUUAUAAUAUUAUAUUUUAUUUUAAUUUUUUAAAUAUAAUAUUUUAUAUUUUAUUUUAAUUUUUAAUUCUUAUAUUAUAUAUUUUAUUUUAAUAUUUUUUAUUUUAAUUAUAAUAUUAUAAAAUAUUUUUAACAAAGUAAUAAAUUUGACGGGUAAAAAUGUCUUCAACAACAUUACAGAGUGCAAUAUAAUGUGAUUGUAUUAGUUUUAAAUUACAAUCACAUUACAUCCCUUGGCUAUAAUGUGAUUGCAUUGCAAUCUUACAUUGCAGUGGUUUGUUGCAAAACAAAUACUGUAAUGUACUUUAAUUAGACACAUUACAAGAAAUGUGCUCUCACUUUCUUCAUACCAAACACUACCAUACUUCAAAAAGUUCAUGUUGAAAAAUAUAACUUUGAAAAAGAAUAUUAAAAAGAAGUAGUAGGAAUGUAAGAAGAUUUUUUAUUUCAUUUCUUAUUCCAGUAUUUCAACCAUAAAUUAUAAUGCCUCUAUUUAUAAACACACAUAGAUGAAGGAGAAAUGAAUUUAUAUAAAUAGAGGGGAUACACUUAGUAGAUAAGAAUGUACAUAUAUUGAAUGAAAUCAGAAAAUAGAGAUGUACCAACAUAAAUAUGUACAUUAGAUAUGAGACAUACAUUAGAUAUUAUGAAAUACAAUGGAUAUUCAUAUCUAUUCAAAACAGUUAACAGAUUAAUCAAUUUUGAUUGCAUGGGUUUUUUUUAGAUUUCUUUUUAAUUUAAAAAAAUUUGAAUUUAACAUUUUGAAAUUAUAUGUAUCAAUUAUUAAAUUAAAUGUUUGGAUACAAAUUUUUAUUAAAAAUAUAAAAAAUUAAAAAAAUUACUUGCAACAAUUAUAAAAUGUUGGUUUUGUUUUUUUAUAUUUUUUUUCAAAUGGCAUAAUUUUUUUUAAUAUUAAGGAUAAAAAAAUUUAAAAUUAAAAAUAAAUAAAUACGAUCAUUUUCCUCAAUCAAAAAUUUUUUAACAUUCAUAUAUAUAUAUAUAUAUAUAUAUAUAUAUUAAAAAUGUAUCCGUGUGUUUUGCACAUGAAUACAAUACAUGUUGUAAUAAUUGUGUUUAUUAUAUUUUUGAUUUUAGAAAUUUUUACGGGUGAGGAAUAAAACAAGUUCAUUUAUUAAAAAGUACAUAUGUAAAAUAUCAUAGGUAUUAGUAGAAAAUAUAAAGCAAUACAACAGUAGUUUUUUAAGUAGACCGUAGCAGGAGCGUUUAUGGACAGUUUUCAAUGAAAGAAAAAUGACUAAUGUGAAUAUCCAAAAAAAAACAUUAAAAUCUAUUUUAAUUCCAUCUCACCUACACAAUCACAAAACCCGACCCAUAUAUACCUUAAAACCGAAAGCCAGCCAUACCUUAAAACCGAAAGCCAGCCAUCCAAUAAUUAUAAUUCAGAUCAGAAUGAGAUAUCCUACAAAUGAAUACCCGAUUGUUAAGCUUAAGUCCAAAGCCAAUCCUAGAAAAAGGCCUACAAAACAUCAUCAAGUCCACCUGCUAAAUUGAAGUCCAAACCCAAACCCAAAAUAACUUAUCAAUCACAUUUCUUUAAAAGCAAAACCUGGGGAAAUACUGAAACUGGCAUUCGUGAGAGAGAGUUGGGUUUUGUUGGUCUAUCACAAUGCUGCCAGUGUUGAAGAGAAAAAAUGAAAAUUGAAAAAGCAAAAGAAGAAGAUUAUGUAAAGAGAUGGAAACCCCUUAUCCCUGACCCUUGACCCAUUGCCUCCACGUCCACCACUGCCCCACCUUUGCUGCUCAUGAUAUCAAAAAGAGAAAAGAGAGGAGAGAGAUGGACAAAAGAGAAAAAGAAAACAAAGGAAAAAAAAAAAAAAAGAAGAAGCAAAAGUACAGAAGGAGGUGAAAGGAGAAAUUUCUGGAAUGGGUGUCUGCACAAAAAGAAGAAAAGAAUUCCCAAAACAAUCUCAAGGUUUUGCCUUGCUUCUCAGAAAAAUGGGCUCUAUUCCUAGUGUUUCUAACAGAUUUCGCAGAAUCUCUAACAGUUCGUAAGUGUUUCUAACAGAUUCAUACCUAGCAGUUCUUUGUUUGUCCCUGUUAUAUCCGGAUUGUAACGUGGCCUUGCAGAGCCUUUGAAUCAUACACUCUUGACACUUCUUCUGGUUCCUGGAUCACUUGCCCUCCCUCUCUCUUUCUCUUUCUCUCUCCCUUCCGCAGCCGACCAGAUGUCACAUGCUUUAUUGGAUAUUCCUUUUAUAUAGAGUAGAGUUAUGAUAAAAAUUGCUUUUGUCCACCCAUCUUUACUUAUCUGGAAUCCGUAAUACAUGUAUAGUAUUUACAAUUUAUUUUGUCCAAAAAUUAAUCCAUUUUUAUCAAAAUUAUGUGUUUAAAUUCGCAUAUAUGUGUUUGAACACGUCUCUGAUUUACAUUGUAAACUAUCAUUUAUUUCAUACUUUUGUAUGAGGGUUGUCUUUUGUAUUUGGGCUGAGGGAAACCAAUUUCUUCCCUUCGCAUUCUAAUGAAAUGCAAUUUCACUUUCAAAAAAAAAAAAAGUUAUCUCAUACUUUUAUAUUCCUAACUAGAGAAAGGCCAGCGUAAUGUUACGAGCCCAGUCUGCAUAAAAUCAAAAAACAGUGAAAGUUCAAGCUUUAAAAAAUAUAAAUUCAAAAAACCAUAUAUAUAUAUAUGGAUUUUAUUGUCCUUUGCCCGAUGUUUGUUCUGCAAGUAUCAGAAAGAAAUAUCUUUUCCUGGUCGUCGGUUGUUAGUUAAAUAAUGUUUGAUUCGCAUUCUCUGUGCCCUUUGCCAUUGUGGUACCCAAUAAGCCUGGCAGGAGUGGUAGAAAAUCAAAAUCAAAGGACGGAGGACCAUCUCCAUCUUCUCCAGUCAACGGCCAAGCACCAAGUGGUUAACUCGAUGCCAACCAUGGACAAUCCCAGCCUUAUCUACCACUGCCAAUACCGUCUGCCAUCACUGCUCUAUUAUAUGUUAUGUGUAAUUUUAUGCACGAACGGUCCUCCACCCAAAGCACAAUACGUGACAGAUUGUGUCACUGGAUUAUUUUCUUCUUGCUUCGAAAUGUUAAUUUGAUAGAAUAUAUAAUGUUUAUGUUUAUAAGAUUUUUAAAAUUUUUUAUCUGUUUGAUAGGAGACUGAAAUAUCUUAUUUACUGAUUAAUUUUAUUGUCUGUUUUUUUGAGUCUAAUAUUCCAUGUUUAUUGUACUAACAAUGAUGAUAUCCGCACUAAAAUAAAAUGAAAGCAAAAAACAAGGAGGGGGAUAUAUAAAAAAUAUUAUUCUAGCAUCGCAUAUACAUCGAUUAUUGCAAUUAGGCUUUACUUGAUUGCUCUUCUUUUUUAUUUUCAUGUUUUUACUUUGACAAUAAUUAUUAUGAAUUACAAGUAUAUAGUAAUAUAUAUAUAUAUAUUUUUUUUUUCGGAUUUAAGAUUAAACAAAUAAUUUGGACAUAAGGAUUCCAUCAUUACCUUCUCGAAAAUUUCAGUGGUGAAACUGUGGAUGGCUUGUGUCAGACGAGUCAAUAAUGUGGACAAGAAGAGACGGCGCAGAGGAUGAGAAUGUGCCUUGGUAUUAUCUCAUUCAUUGAAAUCAGGGUAUUACAUAGUGCUAUUUAUAUGUACAGGUAUGCGAUCAGCAAAGAAAAAUAAAGCUAAAAACAUUGCUAACUAACUAAUGAUUAGCUACUAACUGAAAUUUAAAAACAAAUCAAAACGCUGCGCAUUGGUCAUCUGCUUUUUAUUUAAACGGUGAGUUUUGGUUCCUCUUCUCCUUUCAUUCCUGCAAGCUGAUAUACUCACUUUUCUUUAUUUGGUCUGUGUUUCUUCAUCCUUCAAACAUUUAUUCAAAUCACCAUCAUGAGAGUAAUGUCUAACAGCUUGAACGAACAAGGAGUGCUAGAAUUGGAGGCUCCUUCUUGAUUGAGGGCCAAUUUCUGUCGAUGCAGAAAGAUUUGGAAUGCCUUCUCCUCCACAACGAAUCAUUUGCUACUGGUGGAGCAUCAGCAAUUCAAAGCAUUCUGAUCAGCUCAAUUGCAUCCAUUUCUGGGUGUGAUAUUUAUACAGUCCAAAGACCCCAUUCGGCUUCUCCAGGAGCUGCUCGUGGCACGUUGGCUGUGCAGCAAGAAAGGCAGUUUUGUUCCAAACUCAUCGAUUUGCAAGCGGUCAUCAUGCAGGGCUGGGAUUCACAGCUUUAGUUUCUUCAUUCCAGUCAAUACAGACUUGGGUUUAGUUUCUUCAUUACAUCAAAAAGAGAGAAAUCCUGAAUUUAGUGUGAGGUUUUACAAGUGUUAAUUGUUUUGACAUGGCUGAAUUGAAACUCAUAGCCUCUUCACUUAGCCUUUUCUGCACAAGGAUUGAAUGGGCUUUGAAGCUUAAAGGUGUGAAAUAUGAGUACCUUGAAGAAGAUUUACGAAACAAGAGUCCUCUUCUUCGUACCCACAGACCUGUCCAUAAGAAAGUUCCUGUUCUCCUUCACAAUGGUAAACCGAUUGCCGAGUGACUCAUCAUUCUUGAAUACAUUGAGGAGACAUGGAAGGACAGUCCCUUGCUCCCUAAAGAUCCAUAUGAGAAAGCCAUAGCUUGCUUUUGGGCAAAAUUUGCCGAUGAAAAGGUACUUCAUCAAAACCAUUUGCCAUUUAAUUUCAUUCUAGUUUUAAGUGGUGUUGUGGUUGUUUAAUUCUUUGUUUUGAUUUCUUAAUGAAAUGCAGUGCUUGCAUGGUGCAUUUGAUGCUUGCCGUGCUGAAGGAAAUGAAAAAGAAAAAGCCAUAGAAUCUGCGGCAGAGUCUUUUGCAUUUCUUGAGAAGCAGCUUGAAGGGAAGAAAUAUUUUGGAAGGGAACAGAUAGGGUAUCUGGAUCUAGCCUUUGGUUGGAUCCCUCAGGAAGUUGGUUGAUGGCCAGAGGACGCCACUGCUUCACCAAUGGGGGCAGGAAUUCAUGGAAAUUCUGCUGAUCAAAGAAUGCCUUCCACCUAGAGAUAAGCUGCUUGACUACUUUACUGCUAGCAUCAAUUACCUGCGUUCCUUGGCAGCAAGCCAGCAAUGAGUUCUUGUUUCCAUUCAUGCUUUACUCCAUGGCCAAGAACUAAAUAAUUGGAGAUGUUUUAAUUUUCUAUUUGUUUCAGUUGUGUUCCAAACUAUGUUUUUCAAUAUGUCACCUAUAGCUGACAGAUAUGGAGUGAAGCCAACUACUCAACUUUUGUUGUCAAGCUUAAAGGUGUGGAAUAUUCAGUUCAAAUCAAAGAGUUGCUGACUUUAGUUUCUGAGUUCAAUCAUUUACUAACUACUUCAGGGCAGAUCAACCAUUGUCAUUUUGGUAUUUCCAAGAGUAGCAUUUCACUUUGAGACUAGGUAACAGAGGAGCGCGACAAAAAAAAAGCAGAUGCAAUACAGACAAGGUUUCUACAGAAGGAAAAAGAUGACGAAAAAUAAGCAUAUGUAACAGAAGCUCAUUCUCUGAGAUCAAUCUCAGUGGCAUUGUUAUCUGAUGGUAAUAUGUUAAAGGGAAAAGCACUGUUGAACCAAAAAAAACACUGAUAAAACCUAGAAGAAAAGCAGAGAAGUUCGAAAAACUAAAUGGUAGCUCAAAGCUUUUCUAGAGUAUAACAAAGGAAGCUGCUUGGUUGCUAGUGAAGCAACUCAACUUUACUAUGAAAUGAAAUUAGCAUGUGAUUUUCAAAAUCAACUCAUCUGAGACAAGAAGUUUAGAGAUGUAUUACAUUUGGAAUAGUUGGAGAUCUAGUUAUGUACAGAGUGGAAUAUUUUUAUCAUUCUACUAGGAAUACAAUUUGGUGUAUAUUUCAGAGAUUUCAAAGAAGUAUUAAGUAGUAACACGGUGACACUGGCACCAAAAUGCUGUUCCUCCGCUUCUGCCUUGAGCAACUGCUAUUUCUUCAUCAAUAUAAAACCAGAUAAAGAAGGGGUCCUUCGUGCUUGGUUCUCUAUCUUCUUUCUGGCCAAGCCUGAUCUCUAAAGGGUUAAAAGGUCCAAUUUUAACUCAGAUUUUCUCAAAGAUGAAGGACAAUAUUCUGUUCUUCCAUGAAGAUUUUCCUUCAAAGGUUAAGAACCCAAUUGGUCCUAGAAAUACUCCAUUCUCAAUCCUCUUUGCCUAACAGUUCAAGCAAUGAUUAAUUAGUUUCUAAAGUUGACAAAAAGCAAAGGAACAGCUAGCUUAGUUCUACUUUCAUUGGCACGAUAAAAGCAGUGGAAAAGUUAAUCACUGGUUUGUCAACAGGCAAAUCAAAUCCAAAUUCAUCCUAAAGAUAUUACUCACCAUACAGAAAUAUCACAUUUGAUGAAUGCAUUGAAUUCUAUCAACUAUGAGCACGAAUGAUCAUCUUAAACAAGCAAUUUCAGCAAAAACUACACACUUCGAUUAAAAGCCUCCUUAUAACAUAUGAAUUUUCCCCCCAACCUUAAAAAUUAUUCCAAUACAAGUAAUGCAACAGUUUCCAAAAAAAUUUCAGACGUGUUGUACUGAAGGGAACUAAUCCGACCAUAUAAUACAUGAUUUGAAUCAGCUAAACAAAUCCGAGCAUAAUUCUAAACUAAACAUUGUAUACUUGUAAAAUAAACUAUAAGAAAGGUUUCGAAAAGAUAUCCAAAACACACUUUCAACCUUUUUUGCUAAUGCUUUCCAAGAGGCAUUAUGCUCAUGCAACCAGAUGUAAAAUCUUUGUUGUCAGCUUUUUCUCUUUUUUAUUAUCAGAGAACUGGACUCAGUUCUACAAUUCCUAAUUCUUGAAUCCUAUACCACCCCUAGGGAAUAUGUCCAGCAUUGGAACUUCAAACUAUUUAGAAGUAGCUGGAAGCUUUCAAUGUUUCACUUUUACUUAUGUUAUUCACUUUAAGCAGCCGGAACUUUUAAUCACAUUGAGAAGAGAUUAAGGAGCUUAUCGCAGCAUCGAACCUCUGAACAGCUGUAAGAGGGAAGUAGCGGCCGUUCUUCAAUUGUUUCUACAAACGCAAAUUAAAGAAGCUUAAUAGCAUUGAGGUAAUCAUUCAACAGAAAGCCACGAGCAUAUCUAAAACGAAGAUGACAAUCAUACGAAACCUCAGCAGUAAAAAUGAGCACACAGGUUCUGCCAGGGGAAUCCGGUCCACCAAGAGUUUCAAGAAACGCUGAGGGGUUGAGUUUGGCCUUCUCAAUAACAGAAAAAGCUGACAGAACCUCCUCAGCAGGGAUUUUCCUCGUUUUGGCUGCAUUUUUCAACACUUUGAC
Molecule: long non-coding RNA, 12341 nt
Filed under: Theobroma cacao (cacao)
Lineage: Eukaryota; Viridiplantae; Streptophyta; Magnoliopsida; Malvales; Malvaceae
Description: long non-coding RNA (TCAC_LNC001548)
Source: RNAcentral